GUGGCAGCUUGGAUGGAUUCACACGUAGGAACCAGGAUUUAGCCUCAUGGAUGGUUAGAUUCAUUACAAUGAAUGAUGCCUCCCAGAACCAAACUUCUAGGAACUCCCAUCUGGUCGGAGACUGGGAGCACUGACAAGCACCGUGGUGGGACUUUGUACCUGCAAGAGGGCUGGGAGGAAGCCUGACCUCUCUGUUACCCCCAGAAGAAAGUGAGGCUGGGCUGACACCUGCUGAGACAGCUGCAGCCGUCCACGCCUGGCAGCCCAGGAGGCUCCGGGAGAAAAAGGCUUCGUGCCAGCAUGCUCUGACCAUUAAGGAGACAGCUUUCCAUUAAUAUUUCUAUGCAGGUGAGUUAUUUCAGCAACUCCAAAAA
Long non-coding RNA from Alligator mississippiensis (American alligator), 374 nucleotides. RefSeq lists it as uncharacterized. The transcript is spliced from 3 exons. The record is from RefSeq and is a predicted model, not a curated record. Lineage: Eukaryota; Metazoa; Chordata; Crocodylia; Alligatoridae.